Molecule: ribosomal RNA, 676 nt
Filed under: uncultured equine intestinal eubacterium sp. CW18
Lineage: Bacteria
Description: bacterial SSU rRNA
Rfam family: Bacterial small subunit ribosomal RNA
Source: RNAcentral
ACGCUGUAAACGAUGAUUACUAGGUGUGGGGGGACUGACCCCUUCCGUGCCGGAGCAAACGCAAUAAGUAAUCCACCUGGGGAGUACGGCCGCAAGGCUGAAACUCAAAGGAAUUGACGGGGGCCCGCACAAGCAGUGGAGUAUGUGGUUUAAUUCGAAGCAACGCGAAGAACCUUACCAGGUCUUGACAUCGAGUGAAGAGCUAAGAGAUUAGUUCGCCUUCGGGCACAAAGACAGGUGGUGCAUGGUUGUCGUCAGCUCGUGUCGUGAGAUGUUGGGUUAAGUCCCGCAACGAGCGCAACCCUUACCAUUAGUUGCUACGCAAGAGCACUCUAAUGGGACUGCCGUUGACAAAACGGAGGAAGGUGGGGAUGACGUCAAAUCAUCAUGCCCCUUAUGACCUGGGCUACACACGUACUACAAUGGCAAUAGAACAGAGGGAAGCAAUACAGCGAUGUAAAGCAAAACCCGAAAAAUUGUCUCAGUUCGGAUUGCAGGCUGCAACUCGCCUGCAUGAAGUCGGAAUUGCUAGUAAUCGCAGAUCAGCAUGCUGCGGUGAAUACGUUCCCGGGCCUUGUACACACCGCCCGUCACACCAUGGGAGUCGGUAACACCCGAAGCCAGUAGUCCAACCGCAAGGAGGACGCUGUCGAAGGUGGGAUUGAUGACUGGGGUG